Molecule: ribosomal RNA, 641 nt
Filed under: Prionchulus sp. S157
Lineage: Eukaryota; Metazoa; Nematoda; Enoplea; Mononchida; Mononchidae
Description: partial large subunit ribosomal RNA
Rfam family: Eukaryotic large subunit ribosomal RNA
Source: RNAcentral
GGGAUGAAGCUACGAGGUAGUUGCAAAAAUCAGCUAGUCUAAGGUCUUAGAUUGGUCGUCUGACGUUAAAGCAGGCGGCUGGUUACGAUACGGCCAAAGUCUGGUGCACUUUUUGUGACGAGCAUCGCGACUGAAGCGAAACCUAGUGGAAAGGGUUCCUUGAAGGCAGAGCCGAGUGUUCUGUGACUUAGGUUCUCUGGAUACUUGUGAAUCGUUUCGGAUACCCGAGUAGUCGUCGUUAAGACUCGUGAAAUCUUUUCGUUUGGUCGGUCGAAAUGUCUGUUCUUGCUUGCAGGAAUGGGCGACACCUGAUUUAACGUUGAAGUGGAUCGAGAGACUACGAAGGAUCAGCGAUGUCCGAGGUGGCCACUCAUCCCACCCGUCUUGAAACACGGACCAAGGAGUCUAACAUGUGCGCGAGUUAUUGGGUGGUAAACCCAAAGGCGAAAUAAAAGUAAAGACUUCUUACGAAGUUUUAGAUACGAUCCUUGACUUAUGUCGAGGCGGAGUAUCGUCCCAUCUAUGCGGUUCGUCCGUUGGGUGGAGAAAGAGCGUAAAUGUUGGGACCCGAAAGAUGGUGAACUAUGCUCGAGCAGAACGAAGCCAGAGGAAACUCUGGUGGAGGUUCGUAGCGGUUCUGA